AUGCAGGAAGAUGGAGGGAAUGGAGAGUGGUGCCAUGCUGUCCCCCCGGUGCACAGACGUGGCUGCGCAGACCGGUGCUCCUUUGGGGACGCUGGAAGGACAGCACGUGUUUGUCCACACCACUUGGGCCAGCAUACCUGCUGGGAGAGGCGGGUAAUGCCAAAGGAGCAGAAGGAAGUGACAGAGGAUGAUGGCAAUGUGACACCGCUUUUGCCCUGGUAUUGCUGCCAGAUGUUUUGGGACAUCCGGGCUCCUGAAUCAGGAGAUUACUCUCCCUCUUUCUGAGCAAGACAUCCUUCCAAUUCACCUGGGGGAUAUGUCUUUUUAUUUUGGUUUCCUCCUUACCAUGUGCUGCUUUUUAAACAAUUAAAUAGUGGAGCUACUAAAAUGUCUGCUCUGUAGC
Molecule: long non-coding RNA, 403 nt
Filed under: Dromaius novaehollandiae (emu)
Lineage: Eukaryota; Metazoa; Chordata; Aves; Casuariiformes; Dromaiidae
Description: lncRNA (ENSDNVG00000002100.1)
Source: RNAcentral